This is a long non-coding RNA of Bos taurus (domestic cattle), 1007 nucleotides long. Lineage: Eukaryota; Metazoa; Chordata; Mammalia; Artiodactyla; Bovidae. The record is from Ensembl.
GGCAAGGAGCACCAUGCUUGGCACAUGGAAAGAGCUUAGUAAAUAGUAGCUACUCUUAUUAGUCUGUUGUGGAGCUAAUUGGGAAUGAACAUGACUUAUUCACACAGUGAGGAGUGCUCAACCAGCCUGUCUUGUUAGUCUCUUUGUUAACCACCUUGCAACUGGAAUUUUUCUCUUUUGCCCUUCAAAUGCAUCUAAUCUGAGGAUUCCCUCCAGCCUCCUGCUGGCUGCAAAAAUCCAGCAGGAAUCUGCUUCUGCAGGGGCUGGCUUCCCAUCUGGCUGGAAUCACCCGCCAGCCACCCACAGCACGAGCACCUCACAAAUUAGGGAGAUCAGGAGCAGCCACUUCAGACAGUUCGCAGGCCGCAGGGUGCCGAUUGGUGGCAGAACCACUUGCUGAAGCUGAAAUUAACAGGUUUCUUGGGUUGAAGGCUUUAAUUAAAAAAUGCUAGGGAAUUAUUUCCUUAAUUCAGAGACUUCUUAGUAAUCACUUUCCCCUGCUUUGCCCUGAGACUCUUUAUCUUCAGCUAGAUUAAUAGAUGGUCUCAACAGCCUGAGCACAGGACCUGAGGCUGGAGUUUUGGGUUGUCAAAUGAGGUGGGUGCUCUUCAAGGCUCCGUUCUGGGGUUCCAGACCUCUUCAGGCUGCGUGUUGCCUUCGGUCCCCUGAAUUAGGUGAAUGGCUUAGCUGACUCGGGCUGCCAUUACAGAACGCCUUAGACUGGCGGCUGAAAUAACAGAAAUUGGUUCCCUCACAGUUCUGGAGGUUGGAAGUCUAAGAUCAAAGAGCUGAUUGAAGGUCUCUGGCAACCCGGCGUCGAGCAAGUCUGUCGGCAACGUUUUUCCAGCAGCGUCUGCUCACUGAGUGUCUCUGUGUCACGGCGGACAGCCGAUCUCAACUUCAAUAACCUUGCCAGAGGCCAGAACCUGGAACUGCAGGGCUCGUGGGCCAACUGAUGGAGCGGCCAGCAGGAGACGGGGCAGACGGCUGGGACGCCACGCUGAAUG